GGCAAGAUGGCCGAGUGGUCUAAGGCGCUGUGUUUAGGCAAGCUCCUCUGUAGAGCAGCUGAAACCGCAGUCUUUCGAGGCGUGGGUUCGAAUCCCACUCUUGUCA
This is a non-coding RNA of Bimuria novae-zelandiae CBS 107.79, 106 nucleotides long. NCBI's taxonomy places the organism in Eukaryota, Fungi, Ascomycota, Dothideomycetes, Pleosporales, Didymosphaeriaceae. The record is from the annotation of a GenBank genome assembly.